Molecule: non-coding RNA, 306 nt
Organism: Pelobates cultripes (western spadefoot toad)
Lineage: Eukaryota; Metazoa; Chordata; Amphibia; Anura; Pelobatidae
Source: the annotation of a GenBank genome assembly
CAUGUACAGGUUUUACGGUGAUUUGGAAAGUUACAGGGUUUUUUGCAUUUUUCACACACAAAUACUAAUGCUAACUUUGGCCAGUGUUUGUGAACAAAUGGCUACUAAUGGCCACCUCUUCAGUGCUUGUCAACAAUUGCAAUACCCGUGAAUGUGAGCAAUUUAGGAAUAUUUUGGAUUAAUUAGGAUUAUUUUCGUGUAUACAAAAGUGUGAAGAGACAGCGUGAUUAGCAAAGCCCUUUUCUAUAUUUCUGCAAUGCUCCGCUAUCCUCACUUUAAGGGGUCUACUCGUUCUACCAAUAUAUU